GUCCCCGGCGUCCGGGCGCCCUGCAUGGAUCCCCCACCCCAGCUCCUGCUCCCCGGCGGCGGCCGGUGGGCAGAAAGACCGAAACCCACUCACGGCCGCCUGCCGAAUCGCGGCUCUGCUGUUUGUGGGGCGUGCUAGAAACGUGGUCCUAAAAAGAAUGGCGUCCAUUUACAUAAUGCUUUGUUUGCGUUUCGCAAGUUUCUUUCGGUUAAAGCCACAGAAACCCCACCUCCUGCCCUUGUGUCGUUUCCACCGCGGCACCCUUUUCCGACAUUAGAAACAAUAGUGUACGCCUGUGGAGGCCUCGUUUGUUCAGGGGCUGCCGGCCAGGGCUUCAGGACGUUUCUGCGGCUUUCCCCGCGCGGCCUGGGCUCCCGCGGCUGCUUUUCGGGCCCAUGGGCGCAGCCACUGCGCCAGGCUCAAGGGGGGCGGCCCCGUCAGGGCCCGCCAUCUUGGAAGGCCUUUUUUGCCGGUUCUUCCCGCUGAGGAAGUGUCGCUCAAGACGCUGGCCUAUGAGUUGUGAUUUCUGCCUUUUCCCCUUCCUCCUUGGGCUAAGCCAGACCAGAAAGGGCCCCGUGCGCAACGUGCUUCACAAUCUCUCAGGGAAAGCGGCUAACGUGGCGCUACUCCGCCUCCCCUGUUCCUUACCCUUGGGGCGGCCGCCAUGUUUCCUGAACACAAAAUGGCGACACGUGGUUAGCAUUCGUCGCCAACGAGAAAUUGGGGUCGGCCCGAAAGCUCUAGAAUGCACCCCUCUUCCUCCCCGGGGCCUUCCACCUCCGCGAGUUUUAUGACUUAAAAAAGCCCACAGGCUGGUCUGAAGGUCGGAGGCCUAAUUUUAACGCGUUUUCCUCCCUUUAAUUUGAAACGGGAACGCGAAUGACUGUAAAAUGUGGGCACAAUAUUUAAUCUCUCGCCUUUUUAAAGCUUAAUAGUGGAUAAUAGGGGGGCAGUAUCAAGGGAUAAUUUGGGUCCCCACAGUACCAAAGCAUUUAGAAACCUCUGUUUAAUUUAAGGAAUGAGAUAAGUUACUGCUUUUCUAGACUUCCUAGCAUGGGCUGUUGUGCUGGAGAGAACGAGAGCUACGAAGAGACUACAGUGCCUCUGACUUUUUCAUAGGACAGUUGGCCGGUGAAUCUUAUUAAUAGUUUACCACAAUUAAGUGUUCAUUUUUAGUCUAGAAGGGACAGGCGUUUAUUGUGCAUUGGCCAGUGCCAGCACAUCCGAUGCAAGGCAGUUCACCGUAUUCUAUCUUUAAUUUUUACCAUGGUCCUCUGAGGUAGGUGUUCUUAUCUCUCUCUCUCUCUCUCUCUUUUAAACAGAGGAAGACAAACAUAAAGAUGAAGUGCUUAAUUCAAGGUCACACAAUGUCGGGGAUGGACCUCCAGAUUUCCUUACUGACCUGCAUUAUCUUGUGGAUACCUGAGUGAAUUCCACACCACCCAUUUUAUAGAUGAAACCACUGAGACAUGGAGCAAUUGACUGAGUAGUCACUGCCCCACCCCUGCCUGGAGCCUCACACAUGACUCGCCUCCUCUCAGUGACCACAGGUGAGACGUGGUCUUGUAACACAGUGGUUAAGAAUGUGACUUUGGAGCCAGCCUGCUAGGGGCUGAAUUCUGACUCAGCCAUUUACUAACUGUGUGACCUUAGGGAGGAGGACCUGGUUGAUAGAAGAAUUUAUCUCGUAGUCUUAACAUCCACUGUAAUUCCAAACUUUGAGGACGAUAGAGAUCAGUGGGCUUUGACUGCCCAGCAUGCAGUCUCCAUUCUUAGGUGGGUUCCCAAGCCUGUAAAAUGUAAGCCUUAUGCUGCUGAGGGCCAUCUUGCCACCCUGAGGGAAACGCUGCCUGAGAAUGAAACAAGCAUAAGUAAAAGCUGAGCUGUGAGAUGGAGCAAGAUGAAGGCCACAUGACAUCUUUGGAGCACCUGGAUCUAACUGUGCCUUAAGCUAGUCUAACCCUGAACAUUUCAUCAUUUCAUUGACAUGAGCCCAGGUUUUCUUUUUUUUUGGAUGGAGUCUUGCUCUGUCGCCCAGGCUGGAGUGCAGUAGCUCAAUCUCGGCUCACUGCAAGCUCCACCUCCCGGGUUCACGCCAUUCUCCUGCCUUAGCCUCCCAAGUAGCUGGGACAACAGGCGCCCACCACCACUCCCAGCUAAUUUUUUGUAUUUUUAGUAGAGACGGGGUUUUACCAUGUUAGCCGGGAUGGUCUUGAUCUCCUGACCUCAUGAUCCGCCCGCCUCGGCCUCCCAAAGUGCUGGGAUUACAGGUGUGAGCCACUGCACCCAGCCCUCAGGUUUUCCCUUUUUUUACCCCUCCUUUUGAAAAUUUGAUGUGGAAUUUUGCCACCUGCAGCCAGAAGAGUUUUAACUAAUCAGUGCCAUAAAUUUUAUAUAGUUCUCCUUGCAAAAUGUGGAUCAGCCUUUCUCAGCAAAUCCUUUGUCAUAAAGUGCUGAAUUGUAAGUUUGUCAUGAGAAUCACAUGAGAUCAUGCAUGUGAAGAACCUGGCAUUAUCCUCCUCAUAGAAAAAAACCAGUAAAUAUUAACUACAGGAAGCAAGGAAGGAGUGGGGUGAGGGGAAGAAGAAGGGGUACUGAUUUAAAAGAACCCUGGAGUCCUAAGGAUAAUCUAGGAACCCUCAGACCCAAUCCGAUACCCCUAUUCUAAAUGCUCCUAGUGCCCUGUACCUUCCCCUCAUAAGCCUUCAUUAUCAUUGUAAUGAUAUGUUUAUGUAAUAUUUUGAUUAAUGUCUCUCCUUCACUGACCUAGCAGUUCUAGCAGGGCAGUGAUUUUGCUGUGUUGCAUCCCCAGCACCUAGUCUGGUAUGUGGCAUUCAGCAUAUGUUUAUUGAAUGAAUGGCCAUGUGGUUAUUCAGAUCCUCCUUGAUUAUUGGGGUUAGGAUUGUGGCAGAAGUGGCAAAAUCAGGGAGAGUAGUCCCUGUCCCCUCUGUAUCUUAUACACUGCCCACACUCCCAACACACAUACACAUACAGAGAAUUUUGUCUCAAUUAGAUAAUUAACUUCUGCUUGGUUGUAAACCAAACCACUGGUUCUUAAACUUUCAUUGGAUCAUUUUAUUGAAGAAUUAAAUAGUGUGGUUCUGGCCUAAUGUCUGGAAAGCCUUGCAGAGGAGUGGAUUAGGUCUUUGUGAUAAACAGGCAGCCUUCCCUGCUCCUGUGUCUUUAUAAAAUCUAUUUAACUGGAGUAGUCCACCCUCCCUCAGGCUCUUACAGGAAUAUGUUGGAGGCUGUAGGAAGGUGGGAAACCGAGAGGGAAAGGACUGGGCCGCUGGAGACUUCACUCAUUCCCUAGCAAGAAACAAAAGCAGUAAAAGGUGGCCCGAGGACAACCUGAAGCUCACUCCUUCAGCACUUUUGGCUGGAGGUCACUUGUUGGAGCCCCACUCAGAGCUCAGCACACCACCCCACCAGCAGCCUCCUCCUCCCAGCUGAGGCUGCAUUUCAUCCCUUCCCCCAGCCUGCUUUCCCUGAGAUAGGGGAGUGUUUCCCAGGGCCCAUGUGACUUCCACUGGCAAGUGACGAUUACCAAUGGUUUACUAGUCAGUGAAACUACCAAAGGCUUUUGUGCUGUAGUAAUCCUUUUCCUGUUUAAAACUCUGGGGAUUUUCUAAUGUUGCCAAUAGUUUUUCAAGUCAGCAAUUACUGUGUGGAUUAUGUAAUGGCUCGGUAUUAAAAAUAGAAAAGACUGGA
Molecule: long non-coding RNA, 3711 nt
Filed under: Homo sapiens (human)
Lineage: Eukaryota; Metazoa; Chordata; Mammalia; Primates; Hominidae
Description: PCBP1 antisense RNA 1, transcript variant 19 (PCBP1-AS1)
Source: RNAcentral